UACGAAGGGGGCUAGCGUUGCUCGGAAUCACUGGGCGUAAAGCGCACGUAGGCGGCUUUCUAAGUCAGGUGUGAAAUCCUGGAGCUCAACUCCAGAACUGCCUUUGAUACUGGAGAGCUAGAGUCCGGAAGAGGUGAGUGGAACUGCGAGUGUAGAGGUGAAAUUCGUAGAUAUUCGCAAGAACACCAGUGGCGAAGGCGGCUCACUGGUCCGGUACUGACGCUGAGGUGCGAAAGCGUGGGGAGCAAACAGG
Molecule: ribosomal RNA, 253 nt
Filed under: uncultured bacterium
Lineage: Bacteria
Description: partial 16S ribosomal RNA
Rfam family: Bacterial small subunit ribosomal RNA
Source: RNAcentral